RNAcentral lists this ribosomal RNA (494 nucleotides) under uncultured bacterium. RNAcentral describes it as "partial 16S ribosomal RNA". It matches the Rfam family "Bacterial small subunit ribosomal RNA", at positions 28 to 507 of the family's 1533-position model. The record is from RNAcentral.
GACGAACGCUGGCGGCGUGCUUAACACAUGCAAGUCGAACGGUGAAGCGCCUUCCUUUUUGGUGGGUGUGGAUGAGUGGCGAACGGGUGAGUAACACGUGAGUAACCUGCCCCCUUCUUCUGGAUAACCGCAUGAAAGUGUGGCUAAUACGGGAUAUUCUGGGUCUGUCGCAUGAUGGGUCUGGGAAAGAUAUUGUUUCGGUGGGGGAUGGGCUCGCGGCCUAUCAGCUUGUUGGUGGGGUGAUGGCCUACCAAGGCGGUGACGGGUAGCCGGCCUGAGAGGGUGGACGGUCACACUGGGACUGAGACACGGCCCAGACUCCUACGGGAGGCAGCAGUGGGGAAUAUUGCACAAUGGGCGCAAGCCUGAUGCAGCGACGCCGCGUGAGGGAUGGAGGACUUCGGGUUGUGAACCUCUUUCGCCAGUGAAGCAGGGCUGCCUCGUUUGUGGGUGGGUUGACGGUAGCUGGAUAAGAAGCGCCGGCUAACUACGUG